AUUGAACGCUGGCGGCAUGCCUUACACAUGCAAGUCGAACGGUAACGGGCCUUCGGGUGCCGACGAGUGGCGAACGGGUGAGUAAUACAUCGGAACGUGCCCGAUCGUGGGGGAUAACGAGGCGAAAGCUUUGCUAAUACCGCAUACGAUCUACUGAUGAAAGCAGGGGACCGCAAGGCCUUGCGCGGACGGAGCGGCCGAUGGCAGAUUAGGUAGUUGGUGGGAUAAAAGCUUACCAAGCCGACGAUCUGUAGCUGGUCUGAGAGGAUGAUCAGCCACACUGGGACUGAGACACGGCCCAGACUCCUACGGGAGGCAGCAGUGGGGAAUUUUGGACAAUGGGCGCAAGCCUGAUCCAGCCAUGCCGCGUGCAGGAUGAAGGCCUUCGGGUUGUAAACUGCUUUUGUACGGAACGAAAAGCCUUCUUUUAAUACAGGAGGGUCAUGACGGUACCGUAAGAAUAAGCACCGGCUAACUACGUG
RNAcentral lists this ribosomal RNA (482 nucleotides) under uncultured bacterium. RNAcentral describes it as "partial 16S ribosomal RNA". It matches the Rfam family "Bacterial small subunit ribosomal RNA", at positions 30 to 507 of the family's 1533-position model. The record is from RNAcentral.